AACGCACAUUGCGCCCCUUGGUAUUCCGAGGGGCAUACCUGUCCGAGCGUCAUAUACGUCCCUUAAGCGCUGCUUAGUCUUGGGUUAUGCUAGUGAUAACAGGCCCUAAAUCUAGGGGCAGUCACCGUCAGAUCCUGAGCGUAGUACUUUGAACUCUCGCUAUAGGCCUGAGUGUGUGACUGUUAUCUAACCAUUACAAGGUUGACCUCGGAUCAGGUAGGAAUACCCGCUGAACUUAA
RNAcentral lists this unclassified non-coding RNA (239 nucleotides) under uncultured fungus. RNAcentral's name for it is "sequence contains ITS2". Lineage: Eukaryota; Fungi. The record is from RNAcentral.